GGGCGGUUAGCUCAGCUGGUUAGAGCGCAUCAUUGACGUUGAUGAGGUCACAGGUUCGAAUCCUGUAUCGCCCA
RNAcentral lists this transfer RNA (74 nucleotides) under Parcubacteria group bacterium. RNAcentral describes it as "tRNA-Val". It matches the Rfam family "tRNA". From Rfam's summary of the family: Transfer RNA (tRNA) molecules are approximately 80 nucleotides in length. The record is from RNAcentral.